This 253-nucleotide ribosomal RNA is filed under the name uncultured bacterium. RNAcentral's name for it is "partial 16S ribosomal RNA". It matches the Rfam family "Bacterial small subunit ribosomal RNA", at positions 524 to 776 of the family's 1533-position model. The record is from RNAcentral.
UACGUAGGGUGCAGGCGUUAAUCGGAAUUACUGGGCGUAAAGCGUGCGCAGGCGGUCUUUUAAGUCAGAUGUGAAAUCCCCGGGCUUAACCUGGGAACUGCGUUUGAAACUGAAAGGCUAGAGUGUGGCAGAGGGGGGUGGAAUUCCACGUGUAGCAGUGAAAUGCGUAGGGAUGUGGAGGAACACCGAUGGCGAAGGCAGCCCCCUGGGCUAACACUGACGCUCAUGCACGAAAGCGUGGGGAGCAAACAGG